AGUGAACGCUGGCGGUAGGCCUAACACAUGCAAGUCGAACGGCAGCACAGUAAGAGCUUGCUCUUACGGGUGGCGAGUGGCGGACGGGUGAGGAAUACAUCGGAAUCUACUUUUUCGUGGGGGAUAACGUAGGGAAACUUACGCUAAUACCGCAUACGACAUACGGGUGAAAGCAGGGGAUCUUCGGACCUUGCGCGAUUGAAUGAGCCGAUGUCGGAUUAGCUAGUUGGCGGGGUAAAGGCCCACCAAGGCGACGAUCCGUAGCUGGUCUGAGAGGAUGAUCAGCCACACUGGGACUGAGACACGGUCCAGACUCCUACGGGAGGCAGCAGUGGGGAAUAUUGGACAAUGGGCGCAAGCCUGAUCCAGCCAUACCGCGUGGGUGAAGAAGGCCUUCGGGUUGUAAAGCCCUUUUGUUGGGAAAGAAAAGCAGCAGGUUAAUACCCCGCUGUUCUGACGGUACCCAAAGAAUAAGCACCGGCUAACUUCGUG
This 492-nucleotide ribosomal RNA is filed under the name uncultured bacterium. RNAcentral describes it as "partial 16S ribosomal RNA". It matches the Rfam family "Bacterial small subunit ribosomal RNA", at positions 29 to 507 of the family's 1533-position model. The record is from RNAcentral.